RNAcentral lists this long non-coding RNA (2022 nucleotides) under Malus domestica (apple). Its description in RNAcentral is "long non-coding RNA (MDOM_LNC014573)". The record is from RNAcentral. Lineage: Eukaryota; Viridiplantae; Streptophyta; Magnoliopsida; Rosales; Rosaceae.
AAAUUUUGAGCGACUUUGUGUGCCACUCUCCUCUCCAGAGACGGCGGCGCCUUCUGCUCCAAAAACAAAGUAGCUUGGAGGUAAAACUUUUCACCUUGCACAUGUUUUCUUUGGAUUUUUCUUGUUUGGAUAUUGUAAUCUUGUUCUAGGGUUAGGGUUUUCUAGUCCAGGGUUUAUCAGAAUUUGAAACCCUAUUGUUGAAUAUGCAUGUGGGUUUAUGGUUUGGUGUUUUGUUGAAAUAUUUUCUACUUUUGAUUGUCAAAAAGAUCAACUGGAAUCCACAAAGAUGGUUUUGGGGUCCAUAUAAUUUUUGAAUUUUGAAUGGAAACUUGUUGUUGGAUAUCCAAUUGAUGUUUUCUUUUAAUUUGAUGUCGAAUAGGCGUCAAAGAGGUUUUUCGUGCUUUAUGGUUUGGUGUGGGUUUAUGGUCUAGGGUUUAUUAGGAUAUCAAAUUGAUGUUUUCUUUUAUUUUUUUAACAAGUUUACAUGAAUAUGUCCAUGACUUGUUGUGCCUGAGGUGGCCAAGGCAUUGCACGGUGGUGUUCCACAACCAAACGUGCUAUGUGUUUUGUUGAAAUAUUUUAUGAAGAAGUCUUUUAAAAACUUGACCUAAUUUUUUUGUUUCCGUUUGCAAGGAAAGAUGAUCUAAAUGUGGGGUUCAUUAUGUGUUUGGUUAUCAUGUUUUUAGCAUCCGUUGAUUUUAUGUCAAAUAAGGAUGAGAUUUUAGCAUUCGGUAAAAAUGUCAAUGUAACUAGGGUGAGACUUGACGAGUUUGUUGUUCAAUUUCUUUUGUUCAAUUUGUCUUCUUUGCAAUCCUAUGCAUGUAGUUCAGUCUUUAUUGUGUGCAAUCCUAUGCAUGUAGUUUCUUAUAACAUAUUGGAAAAGAGUUUCAGAAGCCGGAUCUCUUUUGGAUUAGAUGGUGAUGAAGGGUCUUGUUCCCUCAAUUGUAACCUACAAUUUGCUAAUAGAUGGAUGGUGUAAAAAUAGUUAUGUUGACAAAGUGAUACUUUGCCUCUCCAGGAUGUUCGGUGAAGACAGAUAACCAAAUGUGAUUACAUACACAACAUUAAUAGAUGGGUUGCUCAAUGCUGGAAGGGUCGAUGAUGCUCUUGUGCUUUGGAACAAUAUAUUUUGAUGCGUAUUCAUGUGCUAUGAUUGGAUCUUUUGCCAUAUGGGACAACCCAAUUUACCAAUCAAUUUGGAUUUUCUUGAAAUAAAAUAAUCACUGUGAUUCAUGGGAAGUCAAACAAAUCUCUUGAAAUUCAUGAAUAAACUCUCUGAAAUUCUCUCAUGCAAAGAAUUCUCUCACAAUUCAUGUGAAUUCUAUAAAACUUUAACUCAAAAUUCUUGGAAAGUGAUUUUUUUUUUCUCUCAAAUUCCAUGGAAUUAGAUUAUCUAAAAUUCUCUCAAAAUUCCAUUUGAAUACACCCCCUAAAGCAAACUAAUUCACAUAAUAAAAUCGGUCUCUAUAUAAUUUACAUUAAGAAUAUAUAAAAUAAUAUUUAAUAAACAAUUGAUUGAAUUAUAUUAUUGCUAGCUCAUUGUGAGGCUAAGCCCAUCCUCUCUCUCCCUUAGUGUAUAUAAUAUCAUUUGUUAAAAAAAAAAACAAUCAUUUGAAAAUUAAUUUAAUCACAUUAUUAUCUUGUGCGAAAGACUUUUUUUGACACACCCUGACCUAAAUCAGGGCAUGCUGGCCGUCACAUGGGAGUGACAUAACCAUGUGCACAAUGCGGAAGCAAUAAAGAUAUAAGGGAAUUGCAAAGGAAUAAAAACCAAACUACUAGCAAAACUAAUUAAGAUAGAGUGUUAGUGCGAGAUUAAACGUGAAAUAUACAACCAGAGCAUAAAUAGCCUAAGUGUAGUCAAGCAAAACAAGUGCUAAUUAUACAACACCCAAGGGUGAUCAUACAUUUAUGAUGUUAUGUCAGAACCCCCGUUGAAAUCCUCGUGAUCCACCAAGCAUUUCUACCUAAAACCUGGAGGGGCGCAAAACAUAAAGUGUGAGUGGGCAAAAACAAAGUUUU